UUACCCUCGCGCGCACAACUCGCUAUAUAGCUCGCUCGCUCGUUUGUACGCACGCACGCGCACGCGCGCUGACGGACGGACAGCCCGCCGCCCGCCCGCGACUGCAACUACCGCCCGAGUGUAGGCACAUUAACGGAACGAUUUCAUACAUAUAAUAUUAUAUACGUGUGCGUGUUACGAGAGAGAGGAGGUCGAACCAACCAUCAUCAUCGCAUCAUCGUCAUCAUCAUCACCGCAUAUUGCACACGUACCUAUAAUGUUAUUUUAUGUCCCACGAAGGUUUUCUAAACGAAACGCGCAUUGCAGUUAAGUUGGUCGUCUUCAAUUUGUCACCCCUCCCCUUAAUCCACAGUUUUCCGUUAUACUGGUCGUAGUAUAUACGUCGGUCGUAAAAUCUCAGAAAAUUCCAUUCCACCGAUUCCAAGAUACAAUGCCAGCAGUAAUAUAUUUAUAAUAUAGUGUUUACACGUCAUAAACAAGUCACAACGGACGAUAUGCGCAUAUCACGCAAUCAUCAAGGAAAAUACAUUUUUGCUGAAACCCAAGAAUAUGUGGUACUAUAGUAGUACCUACUACUUCUAUAACACAC
This is a long non-coding RNA of Metopolophium dirhodum (rose-grain aphid), 589 nucleotides long. RefSeq lists it as uncharacterized. The transcript is spliced from 3 exons. NCBI's taxonomy places the organism in Eukaryota, Metazoa, Arthropoda, Insecta, Hemiptera, Aphididae. The record is from RefSeq and is a predicted model, not a curated record.